AGGAUUUAAAGGGCCGCGGUAUCCUAACCGUGCAAAGGUAGCAUAAUCAUUAGUCUUUUAAUUGAAGGCUUGUAUGAAUGAUUGGACAAAGUAAUUACUGUCUUUAUUGAAGAAAUUGAAAUUAACUUUAAAGUGAAAAGGCUUUAAUGAUUUAGGGGGACGAUAAGACCCUAUAAAGCGUUUUAUUGGGGUGAUAAAAGUAUAAGUAAUAACUGCUUUAUAUAUUUAAACAUAGUUAUAUGUUUUGAUCCUUGUUAAAGAUUAAUAGAAUAAGUUACUUUAGGGAUAACAGCGUUAUUUUUCUUGAGAGUCCUUAUCGAAAGAAAAGAUUGCGACCUCGAUGUUGAAUUAAAAUUUCUUUAUAAUGCAGAAGUUAUAAAAGAGGGUCUGUUCGACCUUUAAAUUUUU
Molecule: ribosomal RNA, 408 nt
Filed under: Dynomene praedator
Lineage: Eukaryota; Metazoa; Arthropoda; Malacostraca; Decapoda; Dynomenidae
Description: partial 16S large subunit ribosomal RNA
Rfam family: Bacterial large subunit ribosomal RNA
Source: RNAcentral